GACGAACCGAGCGAACGUUGUUCGGAAUCACUGGGCUUAAAGGGCGCGUAGGCGGGCGGUCAAGUCAAGGGUGAAAGCCCCCAGCUCAACCGGGGAAGUGCCUCUGAUACUGAUCGUCUCGAGGGGGAUAGGGGCGUGCGGAACUUCCGGUGGAGCGGUGAAAUGCGUAGAUAUCGGAAGGAACACCGGUGGCGAAAGCGGCGCGCUGGAUCCCUUCUGACGCUGAGGCGCGAAAGCCAGGGGAGCAAACGGG
Molecule: ribosomal RNA, 253 nt
Filed under: uncultured bacterium
Lineage: Bacteria
Description: partial 16S ribosomal RNA
Rfam family: Bacterial small subunit ribosomal RNA
Source: RNAcentral